GAUGAAGAACGUAGCGAAAUGCGAUACUUGGUGUGAAUUGCAGAAUCCCGCGAAUCAUCGAAUUUUUGAACGCAAGUUGCGCCCGAAGCCAUUCGGCCGAGGGCACGUCUGCCUGGGUGUCACGCAUCGUUGCCCCCCCAAACUCCGGUUCGGGCGGGGCGGAAGUUGGCCUCCCGUGCGUGCCUGCGCGCGCGGUUAGCCCAAAAGCGAGUCCUCGGCGAUGAGCGCCACGACAAUCGGUGGUUUUUUUACCCUCGUUCCUCGUCGUGCGUGCCCCGUCGCCCGAACGCGCUCUUGCAACCCUUACGCGUCGCCUCGGUGGCGCUCCCAACGCGACCCCAGGUCAGGCGGGACUACCCGCUGAGUUUAAGCAUAUCAAUAAGCGGAGGA
RNAcentral lists this unclassified non-coding RNA (390 nucleotides) under soil metagenome. RNAcentral's name for it is "partial contains 5.8S ribosomal RNA, internal transcribed spacer 2, and large subunit ribosomal RNA". The stretch from base 1 to 122 matches the Rfam family "5.8S ribosomal RNA", at positions 35 to 154 of the family's 154-position model. The record is from RNAcentral.